RNAcentral lists this non-coding RNA (46 nucleotides) under Schistosoma mattheei. Lineage: Eukaryota; Metazoa; Platyhelminthes; Trematoda; Strigeidida; Schistosomatidae. The record is from RNAcentral.
GCACUGCUGAGGAGUCCCAUACUAGGACGAAACGGCUGUUCAAUAC